RNAcentral lists this ribosomal RNA (857 nucleotides) under uncultured Streptococcus sp. RNAcentral's name for it is "bacterial SSU rRNA". It matches the Rfam family "Bacterial small subunit ribosomal RNA", at positions 28 to 865 of the family's 1533-position model. Lineage: Bacteria; Bacillati; Bacillota; Bacilli; Lactobacillales; Streptococcaceae. The record is from RNAcentral.
GACGAACGCUGGCGGCGUGCCUAAUACAUGCAAGUAGAACGCUGAAGGAGGAGCUUGCUCUUCUGGAUGAGUUGCGAACGGGUGAGUAACGCGUAGGUAACCUGCCUGGUAGCGGGGGAUAACUAUUGGAAACGAUAGCUAAUACCGCAUAAGAGUAGAUGUCGCAUGACAUUUGCUUAAAAGGUGCAAUUGCAUCACUACCAGAUGGACCUGCGUUGUAUUAGCUAGUUGGUGAGGUAACGGCUCACCAAGGCAACGAUACAUAGCCGACCUGAGAGGGUGAUCGGCCACACUGGGACUGAGACACGGCCCAGACUCCUACGGGAGGCAGCAGUAGGGAAUCUUCGGCAAUGGACGGAAGUCUGACCGAGCAACGCCGCGUGAGUGAAGAAGGUUUUCGGAUCGUAAAGCUCUGUUGUAAGAGAAGAACGAGUGUGAGAGUGGAAAGUUCACACUGUGACGGUAUCUUACCAGAAAGGGACGGCUAACUACGUGCCAGCAGCCGCGGUAAUACGUAGGUCCCGAGCGUUGUCCGGAUUUAUUGGGCGUAAAGCGAGCGCAGGCGGUUAGAUAAGUCUGAAGUUAAAGGCUGUGGCUUAACCAUAGUACGCUUUGGAAAACUAUUUAACUUGAGUGCGAGGGGGGAGAGUGGAAUUUCCAUGUGUAGCGGUGAAAUGCGUAGAUAUAUGGAGGAACACCGGGUGGCGAAAGCGGCUCUUUGGCUUGUAUACUGACGCUGAGGCUCAAAAGCGCGAGGGAGAAAACAAAAUAAAUAUCUUUGUUGUGCUAGUGCCAAAUUGAUGUGGGGAUGGAAGCCCGUUCUGUCCGCGGGUUUGUAGAAGAAAAAUAUAAAAAAU